AAAAAGAGAGAAGGAAAGAGAAAAGAAAAUUAAAUUCCUUUAAAAACAUGUAUAUAAAAAUCACAUUUUCUCAUAUUGAGCGGGGACUUUCACCGAGGCAAUUACUGCAGUUGCUCCCAUUGUCUCUCCCAGUGAGCUCUGGUUCGCUCUGCCUUCUCCUCCUCCUGCCAUGCAGACCCAUUGAGCUCUGCCCCACCAUGGACGGAGCCACCGGGGCCACCUUCUGUCCCACAGAGCCCCCAGCCCCACCUUCUGCCUCCGCCCCCCCAGCUGUGUGCCCCCCUAUGGGGCUGCUGCAGCUGAACAUCGAGGCCGUGCCACGGUGGCUCUCUGCUCUGAGCCCCCACCUCGGCAGCACAAUGCGGGGGGGUUCCGAGCUGCUCUUCCGCUCUCACACAGCCUCUUCUCUCUGCUUUCUGCUCCUCUGCAGCUGCGUCUCCCCCGAACGUGGUGGACAGACCCUGCCUCAAGCUGAAGGUUUACGUUCGGCCGACGAACGAUUCCCUCUAUGAGUCCCCAGAGCCCAUCUUCACCAGCAACAACUCGUGCUGCAGCCUUGCAGUGCCGCGUGCCGUGCUGGUGGCUGCGCCGGUCUUCUGGACUCUGCUGGGCUCCUAGCGCCGCGGGACGGACGGACGGACGGACGGGACGGGACAGCCUCAGCACCACCACGGGACAGAACUGGGGCUGCACCACUGCCAGGAGCCUCACUGCACCCUGCCCGACCACAUCCUGCCCUGCACUGCAGCAGGGAAUGGGGACCCCGCCGUGCGCACGGAUUGCGCCCAUCCCCGCGGCAGCGACCCUCCCGUAGGAUGCUGCUUUUUACAUUUCUAGACCAAAUAUAGAGUCCUGUUGGGUGGUUUUUGGUUUUGGUUUUUGGU
Molecule: long non-coding RNA, 884 nt
Filed under: Meleagris gallopavo (turkey)
Lineage: Eukaryota; Metazoa; Chordata; Aves; Galliformes; Phasianidae
Description: lncRNA (ENSMGAG00000021769.1)
Source: RNAcentral